Molecule: transfer RNA, 72 nt
Filed under: Camelus dromedarius (Arabian camel)
Lineage: Eukaryota; Metazoa; Chordata; Mammalia; Artiodactyla; Camelidae
Also listed under: 1 other name
Rfam family: tRNA
About the family: Transfer RNA (tRNA) molecules are approximately 80 nucleotides in length. Their secondary structure includes four short double-helical elements and three loops (D, anti-codon, and T loops). Further hydrogen bonds mediate the characteristic L-shaped molecular structure. tRNAs have two regions of fundamental functional importance: the anti-codon, which is responsible for specific mRNA codon recognition, and the 3' end, to which the tRNAs corresponding amino acid is attached (by aminoacyl-tRNA synthetases). tRNAs cope with the degeneracy of the genetic code in two manners: having more than one tRNA (with a specific anti-codon) for a particular amino acid; and 'wobble' base-pairing, i.e. permitting non-standard base-pairing at the 3rd anti-codon position.
Source: Rfam by way of RNAcentral
GAGGGUAUAGCUCAGUGGUAGAGUGCGUGCUUAGCAUGCACAAAGUCCUGGGUUCAAUCCCCAGUGCCGCCA